RNAcentral lists this ribosomal RNA (1371 nucleotides) under uncultured bacterium. RNAcentral describes it as "bacterial SSU rRNA". It matches the Rfam family "Bacterial small subunit ribosomal RNA", at positions 28 to 1381 of the family's 1533-position model. The record is from RNAcentral.
GAUGAACGCUGGCGGCGUGCCUAAUACAUGCAAGUCGAGCGAGCGGACGAGAAGCUUGCUUCUCUGAUGUUAGCGGCGGACGGGUGAGUAACACGUGGAUAACCUACCUAUAAGACUGGGAUAACUUCGGGAAACCGGAGCUAAUACCGGAUAAUAUUUUGAACCGCAUGGUUCAAAAGUGAAAGACGGUCUUGCUGUCACUUAUAGAUGGAUCCGCGCUGCAUUAGCUAGUUGGUAAGGUAACGGCUUACCAAGGCAACGAUGCAUAGCCGACCUGAGAGGGUGAUCGGCCACACUGGAACUGAGACACGGUCCAGACUCCUACGGGAGGCAGCAGUAGGGAAUCUUCCGCAAUGGGCGAAAGCCUGACGGAGCAACGCCGCGUGAGUGAUGAAGGUCUUCGGAUCGUAAAACUCUGUUAUUAGGGAAGAACAUAUGUGUAAGUAACUGUGCACAUCUUGACGGUACCUAAUCAGAAAGCCACGGCUAACUACGUGCCAGCAGCCGCGGUAAUACGUAGGUGGCAAGCGUUAUCCGGAAUUAUUGGGCGUAAAGCGCGCGUAGGCGGUUUUUUAGUCUGAUGUGAAAGCCCACGGCUCAACCGUGGAGGGUCAUUGGAAACUGGAAAACUUGAGUGCAGAAGAGGAAAGUGGAAUUCCAUGUGUAGCGGUGAGAUGCGCAGAGAUAUGGAGGAACACCAGUGGCGAAGGCGACUUUCUGGUCUGUAACUGACGCUGAUGUGCGAAAGCGUGGGGAUCAAACAGGAUUAGAUACCCUGGUAGUCCACGCCGUAAACGAUGAGUGCUAAGUGUUAGGGGGUUUCCGCCCCUUAGUGCUGCAGCUAACGCAUUAAGCACUCCGCCUGGGGAGUACGACCGCAAGGUUGAAACUCAAAGGAAUUGACGGGGACCCGCACAAGCGGUGGAGCAUGUGGUUUAAUUCGAAGCAACGCGAAGAACCUUACCAAAUCUUGACAUCCUUUGACAACUCUAGAGAUAGAGCCUUCCCCUUCGGGGGACAAAGUGACAGGUGGUGCAUGGUUGUCGUCAGCUCGUGUCGUGAGAUGUUGGGUUAAGUCCCGCAACGAGCGCAACCCUUAAGCUUAGUUGCCAUCAUUAAGUUGGGCACUCUAAGUUGACUGCCGGUGACAAACCGGAGGAAGGUGGGGAUGACGUCAAAUCAUCAUGCCCCUUAUGAUUUGGGCUACACACGUGCUACAAUGGACAAUACAAAGGGCAGCGAAACCGCGAGGUCAAGCAAAUCCCAUAAAGUUGUUCUCAGUUCGGAUUGUAGUCUGCAACUCGACUACAUGAAGCUGGAAUCGCUAGUAAUCGUAGAUCAGCAUGCUACGGUGAAUACGUUCCCGGGUCU